CUUGCAAACUGGAGAUGGCGACCGGCGCACGGGUGAGUAACACGUAUCCAACCUGCCGAUAACUCGGGGAUAGCCUUUCGAAAGAAAGAUUAAUACCCGAUGGCAUAAUAGAACCGCAUGGUUUGAUUAUUAAAGAAUUUCGGUUAUCGAUGGGGAUGCGUUCCAUUAGGUUGUUGGCGGGGUAACGGGCCCACCAAGCCUUCGAUGGAUAGGGGUUCUGAGAGGAAGGUCCCCCACAUUGGAACUGAGACACGGUCCAAACUCCUACGGGAGGCAGCAUG
Molecule: ribosomal RNA, 281 nt
Filed under: uncultured bacterium
Lineage: Bacteria
Description: partial 16S ribosomal RNA
Rfam family: Bacterial small subunit ribosomal RNA
Source: RNAcentral